This 345-nucleotide unclassified non-coding RNA is filed under the name soil metagenome. RNAcentral describes it as "partial contains 5.8S ribosomal RNA, internal transcribed spacer 2, and large subunit ribosomal RNA". The stretch from base 1 to 120 matches the Rfam family "5.8S ribosomal RNA", at positions 35 to 154 of the family's 154-position model. The record is from RNAcentral.
GAUGAAGAACGUAGCGAAAUGCGAUACGUAAUGUGAAUUGUAGAAUUCAGUGAAUCAUCGAGUCUUUGAACGCACAUUGCGCCCCCUGGUAUUCCGGGGGGCAUGCCUGUCCGAGCGUCAUUGCUGCCCUCAAGCACGGCUUGUGUGUUGGGCCUCCGUCCUCCUCCCGGGGGACGGGCCCGAAAGGCAGCGGCGGCACCGCGUCCGGUCCUCGAGCGUAUGGGGCUUCGUCACCCGCUCUUGUAGGCCCGGCCGGCGCUUGCCGACACAUCAAUAUUUUUUCCAGGUUGACCUCGGAUCAGGUAGGGAUACCCGCUGAACUUAAGCAUAUCAAUAAGCGGAGGA